This 3669-nucleotide long non-coding RNA is filed under the name Marmota monax (woodchuck). Lineage: Eukaryota; Metazoa; Chordata; Mammalia; Rodentia; Sciuridae. The record is from RNAcentral.
AAACAAUUCAAGUGAAUUUUAAAUUGGACAUAAUAUUUUAUUAAAUUUGGCUUGCUAAUACUGUGUUAAACGUUAGCACAGGAGGGAAACAUGUUUAUUUCUAAUAAAUGAGAUCAGCAAAAGAAGAAAAGCAUUUUAAAUAGCAAACAAUUUAAUACUGUACUACUCAUUAAGUUCUCUGAUAGUUUUUUUGAUAUUCAACAGAAAAGGCAACAUUUUAAAGUCAUGCCAAAUGCAGAGCCAAACAAUUUCUUUUUACCCAAGUACAACAGGUAAUACCACUUUUGUGAAACCUAAUUCUAGGCAAGGCUAAAUUGAGCUACUUAUAUAAAAAUAUGCCCACUAGUCACUCAUAGUGUUCUAUUUGCUCAUAAUGUGAUUUGAUUAGAGGAGGCUAUGUCCAUGAAUUAACCAUGGAAUCUACCAGAUUAAUAACAGUUUCAAAUUAGACAGGUGACACAUGCCUAUAAUCCCAGAAGUUUGGGAGGCUGAUGCAGGAGGAUCACAAGUUCAAGGUCAGCCUCAGAAAUUUAGUGAGACCCUGCCGGCUCCCUGCAAAAAAAAAAAAAAGAGGGCUGGGGGUGUAGCUCAGUGGUAGAGUGCCCCUGGGCUAAAUCCCCAGUACAAAAAAAAAAAAGUUUUAAUUAAAAGUAAUAACUUUUGGGAAAGGGCUGUGUCUCAGUGGUAGAGCACUUGCCUAGCAUGUGUGAGGUACUGGGUUGAUUCCUCGCACCACAUAAAAGUAAGCAAAUAAAAUAAAGGUAUUGUGUCCAUCUACAACUAAAAAAAUAUUUUUUAAAAAAGUAAUAACUUUUAUUUGGGUCCCAUCCAAACCAGAAAAUGAACUAUAUGCCUUUUGCAUAUUAUUACUUAUUUUAGUCUAACAAUAACUUUACAGAUAAUAGGCUUACAUAAGGGCAUAACACCAGUAUAUUACAAAGCAAGGAUUCAAACCAAGGUCUAUCAGACAUAAAAUCAUUUCUACUAAGACAUUCUAAGGAUGGUUUGCAAAGGAACAUAUUUCCAGUUUAAUUGUCAAUCAUAUUCUCUCUUGAACAUAGUUUCUAAAUUAUCAGGGAAUGAGAAGAGAAAAACAUGCUUAAAAAGAACAUUGGUGGGGCUGGGGCAACGUUCUAGCUCAGUGGUAGAGCACUUGCCUAGCAUUCUCAGUAUUGCAUAUAAAUAAAUUAUAAAGGUCAAAUGACAACCAAAAAAAAUUAAAAAAAAAAAAUUGCUGAAGAAAGCAGGUAAGUGUCUGGGAGAAACAUUCAACAUAUUAUGUACCUACUAUGUGCCAUUUGCUGUGGGGCUCUUAUAUGUCUAAAUAUUUAAUUAUUGCAAAACCCCUGGAACAUAGGGAUUUUUAUAUAUGAGGAAACUGAAGUGUAGAGAAACCUGUCAAAGUCAUAGAAGUUGCAAGAGAUGGAGUCAGGAUUGGAAACUAAAUUUAGUUCAUCGUUAAAUAUUUACUGAAUGCCUGCUAUGUACUAGGGCUAUAAAAGAGAUUUAAAACAGAAUAUUAGAAAUCCCCCAUCACAGAACUCAAACUAAAACCCCUUUCCUUUCUUUCUUUCUUUUCUCUUUUUUAAGGUCCAGGCUCUAGCCUAAACUCCUGGGCUCAAGUGAUCCUCCUGCCUCAGACUCCUUAUUAGCUGGAACUACAUGUGCAUGCCAAAAUACCUGGCUCUCAAACACAUUUUCUUUUUGUUCAGGAAGUUGUAAAACUGAAAAAUCCCCCAUAGAUAUCUCUUUGAAUAGUUCUAUUUUAAAUGACUGUUUAAAUGUUUAGGUUACACACAUUAGUAAUACCCAUAAACCCCAAACAUAGAGUGCCAUGAAAACCAAACAAGCAUCCAGUAGUAAAUUCUGUCCUACAUGCAGAUUUUUAACAAUACUACCAGAUGAUGCCACAUUAGAAAAGACACUUCACAUGUUUUGGAGGAGGAUUUAAAUCAUUAAACAUUCUAUGAAGACUGAAGUUGUAUGAGAUUUUAAAUGGCAACAGUAAAAUUUCAAAAAGAACAGAAGUAGUCAGCACAAAGCUAGUUUAACAUUAAUAAUAAGUGAGCUAAUAAACAGGUCUAUGUUUACCCCAUCAGGUACUGCUUAUUAUGUCAUCUGGAAAACCAGAAGGAAACUGGUUUUAACUCCCAUAUAACCUGUAUCAUGACAACAUCACUUUACCACAAAUCAGCUGAUACCAGCAUAAAACUGGGGCAGUUCACAUUAAAAAACUGUUUCUUCCUUUCCAAGCACUUUCAUAAUUCAUUCAUGUACAGACUUUAUAGAGUAUCUCCUUAAGGGAAAAAAAGGGGACAAUUAACACAGAACAUUUGAUAUGCCAGAUACUACAUGAGUUUUCUUAUUUAAUUCUCAUAGCCAUCUUGCAAGAUAUUAUCAUGGUCUAUUAGAGGAAGAGACAGAACUUUUAAGAAACAAAGUAACUUUUCUAAGGCCACAUAACUAAUAAAAAGCAUCAUGUUCAAAUUCAGAUGAAAUUAUUAUAAUGUUGCACAGCACUAAAUGGCUGUCACUUUCUUAACCUGCAAAAAAUAAUAAGUAAGUAAGUAAUAAAGGAGAUGAACUGGAUCAUCUCUAAGAUCCCUAAACAUUAAAAACUUUAUGAGAAUAUAAUCUUGGGGCAGGAAAAGCAGAGUGCAAAUAACAACCUGGAUUAAAAAAAAUUAUAGCUCUUUUUAAAAAUUCCUGGGAAGGUCACUAUGAAACAGAAUACAAAACAGUUUCAGGUAGAAAACUUCACACAUAAAUAUAACAUUUAGUAUUAUCAAUAGAGAACCUAGUUAGAAAAAACUAGUUCCAUCUUAAAACAAUGCCAUUGUAAAAGUCUGCAAUUAGGUGGCUGGGGUAUCGCUCAGUAGUAGAGGACUUGCCUCCUAUGUGUGAGGCACUGGGUUCGAUCCUCAGCACCACGUAAAAGUAAAUAAAAAAAAUAAAGAUACUGCAUCCAUGUAUAACUAAAAAAUAUGUUUAAAAAAGUCUGCAAUCACCAGUGUAAGCCAGCUCAGGCAAGGUCACCUAGGGUCAAAUCCAUGAACAACUAAUCCAUAAAUAAAUAUUGAAAAAUCAUGAGGUUCUAGAGUCAAACAAGUUUGAGAAAUGCUGGAUUUAACAUUAGUCCUGUUUCCUUACUGGCUGCAAGUAGUAUAUUGGGCUUGAGACCUAUGAAGUCACUCCUUUUUUUUUUAUAGGACACAAUAUCUUUAUUUUAUUUAUUAUUUUUAUAUGGUGCUAAGGAUCAAACCCAGUGCCUCACAUAUGCUAGGCUAGGCAAGCACUCUAUCACUGAGCCAUAACCCCAGCUCUAGAGUCUUCCUGGAUUUGAAUCCCAGCUCUUCCAUUUCAGCUCAGCCAUGUGAUUUAUAGUAGAUAAAGUUUUUGUAAAGAUUAGAAAGAUUGCUGGAUGCAGUGGCCCAUGAUAGUAAUCCCCAAAACUUGUUAGGCUGAGGCAGGAGGAUCACAAGUUCAAAGCCAGCCUCAGGAACUUAGUUAAGCCCUAAGCAAUCUAGCAAGACUCUAUCUAAAAAUUAAAACAUAAAAAAAAAUAUGGGGGCUGGGGAUGUGGCUCAAGUGGUAGUGCACUCGCCUGGCAUGCGCGGGGCGAUGGGUUCAAUCCUCAGCACCACAUAAAAAUAAAGAUGCUGUGUCCAC